UCCGUNCCAACAGCCGCGGUAAUACGGAGGAUGCGAGCGUUNUCCGGAUUUAUUGGGUUUAAAGGGUGCGUAGGCGGCCUGUUAANUCAGCGGUGAAAUCUAGGAGCUUAACUCNUAAAUUGCCAUUGAUACUGGCGGGCUUGAGUGUAGAUGAGGUAGGCGGAAUGCGUGGUGUAGCGGUGGAAUGCAUAGAUAUCACGCAGAACUCCAAUUGCGAAGGCAGCUUACUAAGGUACAACUGACGCUGAAGCACGAAAGCGUGGGUAUCAAACAGGAUUAGAUACCCUGGUAGUCCACGCAGUAAACGAUGAUAACUGGGCGUAUGCGAUAUACAGUAUGCUCCCAAGCGAAAGCGUUAAGUUAUCCACCUGGGGAGUACGCCGGCAACGGUGAAACUCAAAGGAAUUGACGGGGGCCCGCACAAGCGGAGGAACAUGUGGUUUAAUUCGAUGAUACGCGAGGAACCUUACCCGGGAUUGAAAUGUAGACGACGAGCGGUGAAAGUCGCUUUCCCUUCGGGGCGUCUAUGUAGGUGCUGCAUGGUUGUCGUCAGCUCGUGCCGUGAGGUGUCGGCUUAAGUGCCAUAACGAGCGCAACCCCUGUCUACGGUUGCCAUCAGGUAAUGCUGGGAACUCCGUAGAGACUGCCGUCGUAAGGCGUGAGGAAGGUGGGGAUGACGUCAAAUCAGCACGGCCCUUACAUCCGGGGCGACACACGUGUUACAAUGGUGGGGACAAAGGGCAGCUACCUGGCGACAGGAUGCGAAUCUCCAAACCCCAUCACAGUUCGGAUCGGAGUCUGCAACUCGACUCCGUGAAGCUGGAUUCGCUAGUAAUCGCGCAUCAGCCAUGGCGCGGUGAAUACGUUCCCGGGCCUUGUACACACCGCCCGUCAAGCCAUGGGAGUCUGGAGUACCUAAAGUCCGUACCCGCGAGGGAC
This 939-nucleotide ribosomal RNA is filed under the name uncultured bacterium. RNAcentral describes it as "bacterial SSU rRNA". It matches the Rfam family "Bacterial small subunit ribosomal RNA", at positions 502 to 1453 of the family's 1533-position model. The record is from RNAcentral.